Molecule: non-coding RNA, 841 nt
Organism: Arvicanthis niloticus (Nile rat)
Lineage: Eukaryota; Metazoa; Chordata; Mammalia; Rodentia; Muridae
Source: RefSeq, a predicted model, not a curated record
ACUGCAGACUUCUUGUAGGAGGAGUGGGAAUGCCUAGAUCCUGCUUUUGCAAAGACCUCCUUUUGAAGGAGUGCAGCAGUCUGGUUUCUGUGUCACACUCCUCAGUCAGUCCUGCACCUGUGAGUCUGAACUAAGAUCCCUGGAUGGUGAAGAGAGGAGACUGUAGCAAAGGAUCCAGGUGUGAGCUUCUUUCAUUUUUGUUCCAUGAAAAGUUCCAGGUACUUUCUGAAGUAUCUCUUUCCCAUAUGAGGGUUUCCCACUGCUCAGCCUGAUCUGCUCACCUGUGAAUCAGAACUCAGAGCUCUGGAUGGCGAAGACAGAGGAGACUGUAGCCAAGGAGCCAGCUGGCCUCAGAUUGCAUCAGAAAACCUUCUGUUACCCACCAAAUAAUCUUGCCACUGUGACACCAAUGGUCUGGCCUUGCAUGGCAGAUUGGGAUUGUAGCACACAGGAUCCAAAUCUGGGUAUUGUAGAGAGAUGGCAUGAGGUGAAUGCUCCCAGCCUGUGAGGUGACUUGAGGAUAUCUGAGAAUCCCAGAACAGUGUGACAAAGAGAAAGCAUACUUUCUCAUCAGAGAAUCCUGUUGUACUGUCAAGUAAGCUGCAUGCCUGAGGAAGUGGCCUUCCUGGUAAUUUCCUCGUGAGAAAAAUCUUUUGUUUUACUUAAACUAAGCAAUAUUUAGAAGAGUUGGAUCUCAGGCAGAUUUCUCCGUCUGCAAGGAGGUUAAGGUCACCUUGAACUCAGAUAAACUACUGUUUGAAAAACAGAAGCUAGUGAGAAUUAGAAGCUGUGAGAAAUCUUUAUUCUGCUUGCCCAUAAAAGAUGCUGGAGAAUUCAAUAA